AUUUGUCCUAAAUACUAUUGAAAUUUCCUUUAGGAGGCCUUCUCUGUGAGUAAUACUGGUGUAACAUGACCUGCGUCACACGGUGCCUUGUCCAUUGUGGUUUUUAUUUAAUUUUUUUUUUUUUACAGAAAGGGUUUGAGUAUUUUUUUUGUUUGUUCUACAUCUUUUUUUGUCAACCAGACUCCCUCAGCAUCUUCUAAAAGUCUAAAAGUCUCAAUAGGAAAUGCUCCACAUGUAGACGCGACGCACAAACCCGUCCUGACUGGUUUUACAUCUCUGGAUUAAAUGAAAGUCAGCACGCUGUUAGUUUUAUGUGUGUAAUUCACUGCAUGGGCUUUAUCCCAUGACGUUUUUCUCAUUUUUCUCUUUGCUCACUUAAAGUAGCUCGAGUCACUAAGAGGUCCAGCCGUAGACACUGGGUUGAGUGUCGGCCGGAGAGGAAACCCGAUCCCGAGCUGCUGUCAGUCAGACAAACAGCAGCGAUGGCGUCCAAAGCCGCUGAACAAACACGCAGCGCAGAUGCAGGAGCUUGACUUUCAGGAGCCUCCUCCACUCCUCAGGGGCUGGCGUUUGAGAGGAAACAUGCCCGCAUGUUUAAUAAGCCGGUUUCAAAAUUCCAUUGUUGAGCGGAGGAGGUGGAGCGUGAGGCGGAUAGACACCUUCUGUUUGCCCACACAACAGUGAAAGGUGAAGCCCACGUGCAGCAGAGAGGCUAAACACCAUGCUGAGAGCCCCCCCGGUCAGUCCUCCACAGCCCCUGCAUCCAGACGAUCGAUGAAACGCCUGUGAACGAGAAGGACGUAAAUGUGAAAGCAGUUGAUGCUGGAUUCGGUUUCACCCCGUUUUAGCGCCACUUUUUUCAUUGUCAAAGAAACUCUCUUGCACUGUAUCAACCCAAAUAGUAACUACUUCUGCUUUUUCUGAGCUCUCGCAUCCUGUAUGGGCCCCUGUGGCGCUCAGGGUGGUUGGGAAGUACCUAGUGUUACAACCGUCAUGGUUUCUCAGCUGAAAGCCAAAGUAGACCUUUUGGUUAGCCUUUAACUAAACCUUAUGACCAAAAGAUUGAACUUUUUAAACAUUUUGUAGUUACUGUAAGUUAUUUAAAUUCCAUGCUUUUGUGUCAUAAACCUUAAAAGUAUGUGGAUUUGAGGUUUUUACUUUAACUUUGACCAUAAAUAUUGGCAAUCAUUUCUGGACUUUUAAACAUUUGUUUAAAAUAUUUUUCUUUAAGAAAAAAUUGUGCACUUAUCUUAAUAAAUAUCUCAGAUGCUUUCUGGGUUGGGUUUCUUGAAGCAUGCGAGAUGUGAGUUUCCUCUGCUUGCAGCUGCAGAGGACUAACGCUUUCUGUCACCUAUUACUUGCAGUUUCUGUGAAGUUCAUUUAACUUGACCUUAUGACUGCUACAAGAUUGACUAUUAACCACAACUUCUAGAGCUAAUGCUCUGCUCAUUAGAUGCUCUUUAAAGGAAUUUGAAUUUGGAAAUACAUCAGCUUGUGUUUAAUUGUAAUCUGAAAAUCUUGAGAGGCAACGGUUUGGGAAGAAAUCUGAAUUACCAAUUAAGUUUUUUCAUAGCAUCUGGUUCAGUUGAAUUUUUUCUUUGAUAUCCUUCAGCUACGUGCUCCACUUGUGUUUUAAUAGUUAAGAGACUGUUUCCCUUGACCAUGUUCAAAAUGUUUAACCAAACUUCCAUACAGAAAGUGAAAGUAUCUAAACUGUCCCACAUGCCAUAGCUGUGCAUGUAAAGCUAUAAGUUAAAUGUUUCAAAACAUUUGAGCCUCAUCGUCGUCACACAAAUAAUUUCCUCUUUAACAGUCAUUUGCAGUUUUGUUCAUUUGAACCACUUCUUAAUUUUAGACAAAUACAACCACAGGUCAAAUUAUUUUCUCAAUCACUGAGAUGACAAUAAAACAGUGAAACAGUUUUUAUGGGAUUUAAGGUGUUCUUUUAAGACAAAAAGUUAUAUUUAUCUAAGAAACUAGGUGUUAUGAUUAAUGAAAAGGCUAUUGUGAUUCAGAAAACUUUAAUGAAAUCUAAAACAUAAAGACAUAACCAGCAAUCUAACACUACAACAAAAAUGGCGAGCAAUAUCGGAGCUAUCCAGCCAUACAGUUUUUAGCCAGAUGCCAGCUCGGACGAGGAUCUAUUUGUCUGUGAGUGGGUGCAUCAGAGUGGAGAGGAGCAGGGAGCUUGUGGCCCGUCACAAAUACGACCACUUCCAACUGCAUUCAUUUUCUCUGCUUCUGUUUCAUAACGAUUUUAAUAAACGAAUACUCAGAAAUUGAACUUCAAGCUUAAUUUUCUUUAUAUAUGUCCUGCGUCAUCGGAAAAAUGUCAAAAGAACAUGUUAGGAACACCAAAAAAAACAUUUUCAUCUAUAAACCAUCCCACGCUGGGGGCCGUUCGACCAAAAACAGAAGUAAGAGCAAAUGAAAGUAUUAGGACUUUUAAUAUUUCCUGACCAUGGAUGGAAGUCCCUGCAAAAACACAGAAACAAUAAUAUAGAUUUUGUUGGAAUGUUUACUUUUAGUUGUGUUUUUUUGUUUUGUUUUUGUCAGUGCAAGUUUGCACUUUUUCGGGGGUGACAGAAUCUGCUCUUUCAUAAUUCAGCGCCCUGGAAAUGUCACUAGAUAGCCAAAUAACGACCAUAAUGCAUUGAAUUUUAAUUGCUUGUCAGCUAAAACAAAUGCAUUAAAUUUAUUUAUUUUAUAAAUCCUCCAAGUUUUCAUCAUCAGAACAAAGUGGAUUUAUAAAUAGUCUUCGUUUAGACCAAAGGGUGAUGUCCAGUGACGUGCAGUCAGGAGAGGCAGGUGAGGCUGUGCCUCACCUGUCAUUAUGGGAAGAAAAG
RNAcentral lists this long non-coding RNA (2846 nucleotides) under Oryzias sinensis (Chinese medaka). Its description in RNAcentral is "lncRNA (ENSOSIG00000016077.1)". Lineage: Eukaryota; Metazoa; Chordata; Actinopteri; Beloniformes; Adrianichthyidae. The record is from RNAcentral.